ACCUUCUUGUUUAAGCUCUCUACUAAAAUUCCAGAAACUAGUAUCAUGUCUUAGCAUUUGUAAUAAAGCUAUCAGAGAAAAGCCAAGAAGAAAAAAGAACUGUACCAGAUAGAAAAAUUGAGUUGAACUUUUUUUUUUUAGACGGAGUCUCACUCUGUCACCCAGGCUGGAGUGUAGUGGCGCAAUCUCA
RNAcentral lists this small nucleolar RNA (190 nucleotides) under Theropithecus gelada (gelada). RNAcentral describes it as "Small nucleolar RNA SNORA81 (ENSTGEG00000024496.1)". It matches the Rfam family "Small nucleolar RNA SNORA81", at positions 1 to 146 of the family's 179-position model. Lineage: Eukaryota; Metazoa; Chordata; Mammalia; Primates; Cercopithecidae. The record is from RNAcentral.